RNAcentral lists this ribosomal RNA (601 nucleotides) under uncultured bacterium. Its description in RNAcentral is "bacterial SSU rRNA". It matches the Rfam family "Bacterial small subunit ribosomal RNA", at positions 611 to 1211 of the family's 1533-position model. The record is from RNAcentral.
AACUGUGAGCGUGCGGGCGAUACGGGCAGACUUGAGUACUGCAGGGGAGACUGGAAUUCCUGGCGUAGCGGUGGAAUGCGCAGAUAUCAGGAGGAACACCGGUGGCGAAGGCGGGUCUCUGGGCAGUAACUGACGCUGAGGAGCGAAAGCGUGGGGAGCGAACAGGAUUAGAUACCCUGGUAGUCCACGCCGUAAACGGUGGGUACUAGGUGUGGGUUUCCUUUCUUGGGAUCCGUGCCGUAGCUAACGCAUUAAGUACCCCGCCUGGGGAGUACGGCCGCAAGGCUAAAACUCAAAGAAAUUGACGGGGGCCCGCACAAGCGGCGGAGCAUGUGGUUUAAUUCGAUGCAACGCGAAGAACCGUACCUGGGUUUGACAUGCACAGGACGCCGGCAGAGAUGUCGGUUCCCCUGUGGCCUGUGUGCAGGUGGUGCAUGGCUGUCGUCAGCUCGUGUCGUGAGAUGUUGGGUUAAGUCCCGCAACGAGCGCAACCCUUGUCUCAUGUUGCCAGCGGGUAAUGCCGGGGACUCGUGAGAGACUGCCGGGGUCAACUCGGAGGAAGGUGGGGAUGACGUCAAGUCAUCAUGCCCCUUAUGUCCAG